UCCAUAAGGGUUUAAGAGGUGG
This 22-nucleotide non-coding RNA is filed under the name Rattus norvegicus (Norway rat). Lineage: Eukaryota; Metazoa; Chordata; Mammalia; Rodentia; Muridae. The record is from RNAcentral.